RNAcentral lists this ribosomal RNA (550 nucleotides) under uncultured bacterium. Its description in RNAcentral is "bacterial SSU rRNA". It matches the Rfam family "Bacterial small subunit ribosomal RNA", at positions 355 to 896 of the family's 1533-position model. The record is from RNAcentral.
UAGGGAAUCUUCGGCAAUGGACGGAAGUCUGACCGAGCAACGCCGCGUGAGUGAAGAAGGUUUUCGGAUCGUAAAGCUCUGUUGUAAGAGAAGAACGAGUGUGAGAGUGGAAAGUUCACACUGUGACGGUAUCUUACCAAAAAGGGACGGCUAACUACGUGCCAGCAGCCGCGGUAAUACGUAGGUCCCGAGCGUUGUCCGGAUUUAUUGGGCGUAAAGCGAGCGCAGGCGGUUAGAUAAGUCUGAAGUUAAAGGCUGUGGCUUAACCAUAGUAGGCUUUGGAAACUGUUUAACUUGAGUGCAAGAGGGGAGAGUGGAAUUCCAUGUGUAGCGGUGAAAUGCGUAGAUAUAUGGAGGAACACCGGUGGCGAAAGCGGCUCUCUGGCUUGUAACUGACGCUGAGGCUCGAAAGCGUGGGGAGCAAACAGGAUUAGAUACCCUGGUAGUCCACGCUGUAAACGAUGAGUGCUAGGUGUUAGACCCUUUCCGGGGUUUAGUGCCGUAGCUAACGCAUUAAGCACUCCGCCUGGGGAGUACGACCGCAAGGUUG